GAUUAACGCUGGCGGCGUGCCUAACACACGCAAGUCGAACGAGGUAGCAAUACCUAGUGGCAGACGGGUGAGUAACGCGUGGUCAACCUACCGUUGAGUGGGGGAUAACUAGCCGAAAGGUUAGCUAAUACCGCAUACGAGGUUGAGGGGCAUCCCCUGAUCUUAAAGGAGCAAUCCGCUCGAUGACGGGACCGCGUCCCAUUAGCUAGAUGGUGGGGUAAUGGCCUACCAUGGCNCCGAUGGGUAGCUGGUUUGAGAGAGCGACCAGCCACACUGGGACUGAGAAACGGCCCAGACUCCUACGGGAGGCAGCAGUGAGGAAUUUUCCGCAAUGGGCGAAAGCCUGACGGAGCGACGCCGCGUGUGGGAAGAAGGCCUUCGGGUCGUAACC
Molecule: ribosomal RNA, 391 nt
Filed under: uncultured bacterium
Lineage: Bacteria
Description: bacterial SSU rRNA
Rfam family: Bacterial small subunit ribosomal RNA
Source: RNAcentral